This 279-nucleotide ribosomal RNA is filed under the name uncultured bacterium. RNAcentral describes it as "partial 16S ribosomal RNA". It matches the Rfam family "Bacterial small subunit ribosomal RNA", at positions 506 to 784 of the family's 1533-position model. The record is from RNAcentral.
UGCCAGCCGCCGCGGUAAUACGGAGGGGGUUAGCGUUGUUCGGAAUUACUGGGCGUAAAGCGCACGUAGGCGGACUAGUAAGUAAGAGGUGAAAUCCCAGGGCUCAACCCUGGAACUGCCUUUUAAACUGCUAAUCUAGAGAUCGAGAGAGGUGAGUGGAAUUCCGAGUGUAGAGGUGAAAUUCGUAGAUAUUCGGAGGAACACCAGUGGCGAAGGCGGCUCACUGGCUCGAUACUGACGCUGAGGUGCGAAAGCGUGGGGAGCAAACAGGAUUAGAUA